UACGGAGGGAGCUAGCGUUGUUCGGAAUUACUGGGCGUAAAGCGCGCGUAGGCGGCUUUGUAAGUUAGAGGUGAAAGCCCGGGGCUCAACCCCGGAACUGCCUUUAAGACUGCAUCGCUUGAAUCCGGGAGAGGGAUGUGGAAUUCCAGGUGUAGCGGUGAAAUGCGUAGAUAUCUGGAGGAACACCGGUGGCGAAGGCGGCAUCCUGGACCGGCAUUGACGCUGAGGCGCGAAAGCUAGGGGAGCAAACGGG
Molecule: ribosomal RNA, 253 nt
Filed under: uncultured bacterium
Lineage: Bacteria
Description: partial 16S ribosomal RNA
Rfam family: Bacterial small subunit ribosomal RNA
Source: RNAcentral